CGAAGGGACAAACGGACGCACGCACGCACAGACCAGAAAACUUAAUGCCCAAAAAUGGAGCAGAAAACAAAAUGCAAGAACCACUCAUGUUGGUAUACUAAAGAAGGUUAAUUUGAAGCAUGCUUUUGUACAUUUUGAAAGAGAAAAGAUAACACCAAAUAUUGUGGGUAUGCUUUCGAGACAUGAAUUAGAAGCUCUAGGAGUUUCAAAUACAGCAGACAUGAUGUAGCGUCAAAUUGAGUGUAUUAAAUAUUGGACUAUUAAACCACAGAAAAUUCAAGGAAGUUACGAACCUCCUAAAUUUGACAAAGACAAAUCAACACUUGAAAAUUUACUUGAUAAUGGAUUUUGAUCUAGGAUGUUGCAAAGCUUUUGCUCGUAACUGAAUAUAUCGAAGAAUGGCACCGUUUGAUUUGAGUAAACGUACAUUUUCAGAACUUAAUGAUGAUGACCUCAGUGAUGUUGUAUUGGGAGAAACUAUCCAAGAGUUUCCUCUGAGUAGUUAAAAUAUGUUUCAACAUAUGUCAAUUGCCAAAGGCAUUAGAGAACAAAGAUGGCGCCUAAGAGACUCUAUCAACGUUAAGAUUCAUCUGGAG
This 596-nucleotide long non-coding RNA is filed under the name Mytilus galloprovincialis (Mediterranean mussel). Lineage: Eukaryota; Metazoa; Mollusca; Bivalvia; Mytilida; Mytilidae. The record is from RNAcentral.